Molecule: non-coding RNA, 72 nt
Organism: Ictidomys tridecemlineatus (thirteen-lined ground squirrel)
Lineage: Eukaryota; Metazoa; Chordata; Mammalia; Rodentia; Sciuridae
Source: Rfam
GGUGAUAUACCCCAGUGGUAGAGUGCAUGGCUAGCAUGCAUGAGUCUUUGGGUUCAAUCCACAGUACUACUA